UAGGAUUUUAUUUAUCAGGGGAGGGGAGUAUGAUUAAAUAUAAGAUGGGAGUGAGUGUAAAAGAACUAUACAUUUCAGUUGUAGUGGAUAAUUAGUGAGCUCAGUAAUAUCUUGUUCAUUCAUGCUCUAUAACAAAGAAAUCAUUUCACAAAUACAUGAACUAUCAAAUGGCGAAAAAUCGUGUUACAAACUACAUAUUCUUCUAAAAUACCAUCUAGAAGAGCUUAGCUCAACUUUAUCUGAUAACACGGAGAGUUGGAGACCCUUCUGAAUUGGAUCAACUCAUACGUGAAUCAAAUAAAUAAUUCUGUUGACUCAUGCAUUCUCUCUUCAAAUAGCAAAAUCUAUCAAAACAAAAAGCAAAGAGCCUAAUCUCUAUACAUUAAACGUUGGGCCCCCUGUUCCUCAUGCGGAAGUUGUCCAAAGUUCGACAAACCAAUACCAGUCUUGGAUCAUCUUGAGGUAUCUCUCGAUCCUGCAAUUCCACAUACAUCAUAGCAGAAGUGAGCAUCAAGAGUUAAUCGGAAGAUAGCUUGAUUAGAUGACAUGUGACUAUUAGAAAACCUUUUCAUUAACAAUUGAACCAAUCAAUUAAGAUAAUAAUCAGGGAACUAGGCCCCUGUUUGGAAGAGUUUUUUUGAGCUUAUCUUAUAGCAUAAG
This 660-nucleotide long non-coding RNA is filed under the name Lotus japonicus. Its description in RNAcentral is "long non-coding RNA (LJAP_LNC001310)". The record is from RNAcentral. Lineage: Eukaryota; Viridiplantae; Streptophyta; Magnoliopsida; Fabales; Fabaceae.